UNGCAAGGACUAUGACAAUGUUCCCAUGGG
RNAcentral lists this non-coding RNA (30 nucleotides) under Rattus norvegicus (Norway rat). The record is from RNAcentral. Lineage: Eukaryota; Metazoa; Chordata; Mammalia; Rodentia; Muridae.